AAACGGGUGGCGUCAAGCUGCACACCCAGAGAAUUCAGUCGGCUAGGAUGUUGUGUAUGCGCUUGCGCAUCUAUCAGUCGGUGUAAGAUUGGAUAGUCCGCUGGAAAACAGUGGGCCCUGCCGCAAGGUAGGGAUGUGUGUACCGGGUGGAAGCCGGAGCACGCUAUUCGUCUGUUGGACUGCCUAGCCGGUGCACUUUCUCUGUGGUGGACACCACGACCGGUGGAACUGUCAGUCUGCUAUGGUCAAGUCGUGUUCGGUGCGUCCUUGUGGCAAACUGGAUGCGAUCACGGGCAAACUCGGUGUACGGUGUGAGUGCAUCUUUCGAGGUGUAUUCACACGUUAUCGGCCACUGGUUGUCUUAACGGGCCUGCCUAGCGAUUGUUAUAGCCGUCGUUGGGUGGUCUGGUGGACUAUAGCGGUAAGAAUAACUGUGCAGGGCACCGGAGAUUUCGGCCUCAAAUGCAGUCUGCAUGCACGCUAUAAGUGUGUAUGUCGGGUGUCGUGUCAGCCUGCCUGUUGUUGGGUCUGACUGUCGUGCUGCCUGCGUAAAGUGGGUCCGGCAGUGGCUUGAUGCAGGUUGGAGUUGUGCACGGUGCCUGCUGUGUGGAUUGUGGUGGGCCAGAUAGUCAGUGGUGUAGUGGUAGACGAGCUACCCGACCCGUCUUGAAACACGGACCAAGGAGUUCAACAUGUAUGCAAGUCAAAGGGUCCUACGAAACCCCAAGGCGCAGUGAAAGUGAAGCUGCGGCUCCCUCGUGGUGUCCGUAGUGAGGUGAGAUUCUGCCGUUACUCGCAUCACCUGCCAGUAGCAGGCAAAGAGCGGCAGACGCAUCACCGGCCCGUCCCUUGAUGUGGUCAUUGGAAUAGGCUGCAGUCGGUCUCCGGUUGUAGUACUGCCAGUGCGUCAUUGGGGCGGAGCAUGAGCAUACACGUUGAGACCCGAAAGAUGGUGAACUAU
This 961-nucleotide ribosomal RNA is filed under the name Anthocephalum sp. n. 3 JNC-2015. Its description in RNAcentral is "partial 28S ribosomal RNA". It matches the Rfam family "Eukaryotic large subunit ribosomal RNA", at positions 417 to 834 of the family's 3401-position model. Lineage: Eukaryota; Metazoa; Platyhelminthes; Cestoda; Rhinebothriidea; Anthocephaliidae. The record is from RNAcentral.